Molecule: ribosomal RNA, 253 nt
Filed under: uncultured bacterium
Lineage: Bacteria
Description: partial 16S ribosomal RNA
Rfam family: Bacterial small subunit ribosomal RNA
Source: RNAcentral
UACGGAGGAUCCGAGCGAUAUCCGGAUUUAUUGGGUUUAAAGGGAGCGUAGGCGGGUUGUUAAGUCAGUUGUGAAAGUUUGCGGCUCAACCGUAAAAUUGCAGUUGAUACUGGCAUCCUUGAGUACAGUAGAGGUAGGCGGAAUUCGUGGUGUAGCGGUGAAAUGCUUAGAUAUCACGAAGAACUCCGAUUGCGAAGGCAGCCUGCUGGACUGUAACUGACGCUGAUGCUCGAGAGUGUGGGUAUCAAACAGG